AAAAGAACUUUGAAGAGAGAGUUCAAGAGGACGUGAAACCAUCGGUGGCGAAGCGGAUAGAGUUGAUGAAGCCGGUGGCAUUCCUCAGGGUGCAAGCAUUUUCAUGUUUUCACUUUGUUCAUUUGCCUGCGGCAGACGCUGAGGUGUUCGGUUGCCCCUUCUGAAGCGCACGAUGUUGCCCACCCUCGGGUGGUGUCUUGUCGUGUGUGGAGGUUGUUUGUGGUGUCUGAAUAUGCGAAAGCGCAGGCCCUGCCUUUGCGCGAUUGGCUGCUAGCGUGCGUUCGGUUGUGGCGGUGGCUUGCCACCUGUUGCUUCUGUGGCGUUCGUUUGGUGGUCCGUUGCCAUUGGGUCUGUUCUCGGUGUGGAAAGUCGACCACCUAUCCGACCCGUCUUGAAACACGGACCAAGAAGUGUAGUAUUUGCGCGAGUCAUUGGGUGCAAAACCUAUUGGCGUAAUGAAAGUAAAGCUGGCUUUGCGUCAGUGAUAUGUGAUCCGUGUGCCCUUGGGUGUGCGGCGCAACAUAGCCCCAUGCCGGCUGCUUGCAGCGGUGUGGAGGUAGAGCGUAAAUACUGCGACCCGAAAGAUGGUGAACUAUGCCCGAGCAGGAUGAAGCCAGAGGAAACUCUGGUGGAAGUCCGAAGCGGUUCUGACGUGCAAAUCGAUCGUCUGACUUGGGUAUAGGGGCGAAAGACUAAUCGAACCAUC
This 706-nucleotide ribosomal RNA is filed under the name Neodiplogaster acaloleptae. Its description in RNAcentral is "eukaryotic LSU rRNA". It matches the Rfam family "Eukaryotic large subunit ribosomal RNA", at positions 367 to 944 of the family's 3401-position model. Lineage: Eukaryota; Metazoa; Nematoda; Chromadorea; Rhabditida; Diplogasteridae. The record is from RNAcentral.